This 72-nucleotide transfer RNA is filed under the name Dehalococcoidia bacterium. Its description in RNAcentral is "tRNA-Ile". It matches the Rfam family "tRNA". From Rfam's summary of the family: Transfer RNA (tRNA) molecules are approximately 80 nucleotides in length. Their secondary structure includes four short double-helical elements and three loops (D, anti-codon, and T loops). Further hydrogen bonds mediate the characteristic L-shaped molecular structure. tRNAs have two regions of fundamental functional importance: the anti-codon, which is responsible for specific mRNA codon recognition, and the 3' end, to which the tRNAs corresponding amino acid is attached (by aminoacyl-tRNA synthetases). tRNAs cope with the degeneracy of the genetic code in two manners: having more than one tRNA (with a specific anti-codon) for a particular amino acid; and 'wobble' base-pairing, i.e. permitting non-standard base-pairing at the 3rd anti-codon position. The record is from RNAcentral. Lineage: Bacteria; Bacillati; Chloroflexota; Dehalococcoidia.
GGGCUCGUAGCUCAGCGGUAGAGCGGUCGGCUCAUAACCGAUUGGGCGUAGGUUCGAAUCCUGCCGAGCCCA